GACGAACGCUGGCGGCGUGCCUAAUACAUGCAAGUAGAACGCUGAAGGAAGGAGCUUGCUCUUUCUGGAUGAGUUGCGAACGGGUGAGUAACGCGUAGGUAACCUGCCUGGUAGCGGGGGAUAACUAUUGGAAACGAUAGCUAAUACCGCAUAAAAUUGAUUAUUGCAUGAUAGUCAAUUAAAAGGUGCAACUGCACCACUACCAGAUGGACCUGCGUUGUAUUAGCUAGUUGGUGGGGUAACGGCUCACCAAGGCGACGAUACAUAGCCGACCUGAGAGGGUGCUCGGCCACACUGGGACUGAGACACGGCCCAGACUCCUACGGGAGGCAGCAGCAGGGAAUCUUCGGCAAUGGACGGAAGUCUGACCGAGCAACGCCGCGUGAGUGAAGAAGGUUUUCGGAUCGUAAAGCUCUGUUGUAAGAGAAGAACGAGUGUGAGAGUGGAAAGUUCACACUGUGACGGUAUCUUACCAGAAAGGGACGGCUAACUACGUG
RNAcentral lists this ribosomal RNA (497 nucleotides) under uncultured bacterium. RNAcentral describes it as "partial 16S ribosomal RNA". It matches the Rfam family "Bacterial small subunit ribosomal RNA", at positions 28 to 507 of the family's 1533-position model. The record is from RNAcentral.